GACAAAUAUUUUCCAUUUUUUGCUUCGUAAUAACAUUGCUUAAACUGAAAUUUUAAUCCAUCUUGUUCCAAAAUUCUUCAAAUUCCUCGGAAUUUUCUAUAAUACGGUGACCGUAAACCCUACUCCCGUUCACCGUAAAAAUGUUCAAGAAGUAAGCGUUUUGUCCACUCUAUGGCACGCACACACCACCGUUUAUUGCAUUCUUAUUUCUAUUAUUAAUCAUGAUUUCCAAUCUGUUCUACAUAAAGUUUGAUUAGUAUUUAUCUGUAUUUCUUGGUUCUUUGUAACUGCCCUUCUUCUUGUAAAUUGGAAACGAUGAUAUGCUUCAUGAGUUCAUGAUCUCCAUAUAUUGCUUAUUUUCUCUUUGAAAGAUGAAAAACCCAUUUCGUAAUUUUGAUAGUAAUCUAUCGUUUUAUUCUAAAUAAAUCGGCGUUCUCUCUUUUGGAUAUUUUAGUGGGUUUUGUUGGCUGCUGGGUAAUGUACGUGUAUGUGUGUAUAAUUGCGUUAUGCAUAUAUUAUGGGUUAUAACUGCUGGGUUUUGUUGGCUGCUGGGUAAUGUACGUGUAUUAUGGUUUUACCUCUUGGAGAAUUUGCUAUUUUGUUGGUCUAUUUACUUUUCCUUGUGUUGAACUAAAAAAAUGAUCCCUGUGGCACAUACAAGAUACUUAUAGAAGGGCUUGAUCUGAACCUUUAUUUGUUACCUUCAUAGAACUUUGAAUAUCUUCACUACGUGAUGAUGUCUACUCAAUAAAAAUUGGCUCCUCCAGUUUUUCCUUAUCAUCUCCUUUGUUGUUUUGUUUAUGUACUCAUUCUAUUCCACUUGACAUUUGGUGUAUUGUUUAAAUCCCAAUUAGUCUCUCCAAACAACUUAUCUAUUGAGGUUCCUUUAUGUCCCACUACUUUGUUGUGCUAUCCUUAACACUCUCUUCCACCUUUAAUUGUACCUUGAAACCAAUUCCUGACUCAAAAGUCUGCGUUGUGAGGUUAAACUCUCUGCAUGGAUAACCUUGCUGUGUCUACUACUAGAUUAAUUUGCCCUCCUUGUCAAGAAAAAUACAUUUGUCCCUUGUUCAACCCAUUUAUAGAUCGUGUACAUCCAUGUUCUUGUAAAGCUGGUCAUUGAAGGUCACAUACCAAAGAGACUUUUAGAAUUGACUUUCUGGCAUCAUUGCAUUCUCCAAAACCAAAUCUCCAAUGUAUCUUAGCAAAGCUCCAUCUCACAGAAUGCCAAUAAAAUCUCUGGCUAAAAAUGUUUUCUCCCAUAAGUAUAUUUUGAACUCAAUCCAUUAUAUCUUCUCAAAUUGUGCAUCCAUACCUUCUCCAAAACCAAAUCUGCAAUUUCUCUUAUCAAAAGCCCCAUCUUGGUGAAUACCAUCCAAAUUUCUGGUUAAAAUUGUUUGUCUCGUAUAGGUAUAUUUGAACUAAAUCCUCCAUGUAUACUAAAAACUGAGCCUAUGAAGCAAUCUCCUAAUCCUAUGUGUUUUUCCAAUGUCUUAGCUAUACUUUAAAGUAGCCUACUCUAUUCUGGUUUUAGAUUUUGAAAUCUGGUCUUUUUGUGGGUGAUGCAUACACAUGUUUGCUAUUUCCUUUUUGGUGAAUUUACUACCACUUAAUAUGUGUAUAUGCAUCAUAAACUUUAUAUACACUUUCUUUAAAGUUUUGAUUCUGCCUGGAAUCUUAUUGAGCUUCAACCCACUGUGCUUGCUAAUAAUUGUUUGACUAUUGUUGAGUGUAUUUGUAUUGAUGUUAGCUACUUAAACUAUUAUUAAUGUAAUUGCAUGCUCGUAUAUGUUUGAGAAUUGUUGACAGUACUGAUUUUUAUGUAAUAGCUACCUAUCUAUUGUCUGCCAAUAAAUGCCUAUAUUAUAAUAACUUAUACAGUGCUUCUACUAUAAAAAUAUUUAGGUUCUCGUCUGAAGAGGUUUCUGCACAAAAUCAGGUGAAAGCAUCUGUGCAUAGGAAAAUCCGGCAAAGUAUUGCAGAAGAGGUUUUGUAAUGUUGCUGUUUCUCUUUUCUUCAAUAAUUGUUAAAUGUGAAUAAUUUCUUCUGCAAUCAGUUUAGAUUUAACUAAAGGUAAAGUUUCUCUUCAUUGAAGUACCCAGGACUUGAACCUGUGUUGGAUGAUUUGCUCCCAAAGAAGUCCCCA
Molecule: long non-coding RNA, 2146 nt
Filed under: Olea europaea subsp. europaea
Lineage: Eukaryota; Viridiplantae; Streptophyta; Magnoliopsida; Lamiales; Oleaceae
Source: RNAcentral